This 942-nucleotide long non-coding RNA is filed under the name Homo sapiens (human). RNAcentral's name for it is "HSALNT0404658". The record is from RNAcentral. Lineage: Eukaryota; Metazoa; Chordata; Mammalia; Primates; Hominidae.
CCUGGUGGUCCGGGGGGGCCCACUUCUCCUUUGGCGCCCUUGGUCCCUGGAGGGCCUGGGGGCCCUGGAGGUCCUGGGGGGCCGGGCAUUCCCUGUGGGGAGGGCAGAGAGCUGUUAGGCUUAUGGCCUGCCUGUCAGGCAGCAGCUGGGAGCAGAGACAGUUCAGAAAAAUCAGAAAAAUCAGAAACCUGACCAGGCAGACCUCUGACCAGGCAAAACCGAGAAUGCAGUGGGUCACUCGGGCCACGGCUCCCUGAGGACAGGAACUGGCCCCGGCCCCACCUCAUCCCACGCUGGAGUCGUGCACAGACGUCCCUCGGGAGGAGUGAAGAGGCCACCGGGUCUGCGUCUCAGGUAAAAAGGUCCCUGGAAUGGAGGCCAGGCCGUGAGGCCCGAGCGGCUGGCAUCUCCCCCAUCCCCGACGGCUGCUCCAUCUCCCCCGACAGCUGCCCCCCGCAAUAUGCCUGCCUCGACAGCCCGACCAGGGCCCCUCGCGGCCCCAGCCUCACUCUGGACACUGCAGGCCUCCGCAGGUGACCCCCACCAGGACACCUCCCGGCCCCAGCCUCACUCUGGACACUGCAGGCCUCUGCAGGUGCAAGGAGCUGCCUCACCCUCACGGGUGCCCACCCAGCACAGGGCCUGCCAGCGGCUCUCGCCCACAUCCCACUCCCAUCAUUUCCUUGGGGGCAGUGACUGUCGCUAUCCCUCGGGCCUGACAAGGCCCACCCCAGCUCGACCGGGCUGCUCUGUGCUACCAGGUGGAGACCCCUCCCCAGCCGGGCAGCAUGCAGCUCUGGCACCAGGUUACUCACGGGAAAGCCUGCGAAACCCGGCCGGCCCUGGGGAAAGAGGGACGGCGUCAGCUGGGGUCAUCACGCACCCUCGCGCCUGCCCGGACCCCACCCAGCCUUGUACCCAGGUCCCCGCAGGCCCGUCUCU